This 57-nucleotide transfer RNA is filed under the name Urocitellus parryii (Arctic ground squirrel). RNAcentral describes it as "Spermophilus parryii (Arctic ground squirrel) tRNA". It matches the Rfam family "tRNA", at positions 9 to 63 of the family's 71-position model. Rfam says of the family: Transfer RNA (tRNA) molecules are approximately 80 nucleotides in length. Their secondary structure includes four short double-helical elements and three loops (D, anti-codon, and T loops). The record is from Rfam by way of RNAcentral. Lineage: Eukaryota; Metazoa; Chordata; Mammalia; Rodentia; Sciuridae. RNAcentral also lists the same sequence under 1 other name.
AGCUCAGUUGGUAGAGUGCUUGCCUCACAUGCGAAAGGCCCUGGGUUCAAUCCCCAG